Molecule: long non-coding RNA, 718 nt
Organism: Gallus gallus (chicken)
Lineage: Eukaryota; Metazoa; Chordata; Aves; Galliformes; Phasianidae
Source: Ensembl
CUUUCCUGGACCUCUGGUAGAGAAGAAAGGCUGUGGACUAAGUAUGUGGCCUGUGUUUCCAAGCAGGAAAGUGCCAGAGAGGAAUGGCUUCUUCAACCCUUGUGCCAGAGAGGAGAAACUGGAAAAAAGUUGGAAAGCAAGAGGAAGAGAUACAGGCCACUGAUAGGACAGACAGAAAGAACUCUGGUACUUUUGGCUUAAACAUAUAAACCAAACCAAACCACAAAAACUUUCAAGCAUUUUCAGUCAUCAAAAUUUUUCUAAGCAGCUGUAAGGGACUUGGAAAUAGAAUGGCAGUGUUUAAAUUAUUACCUUUCUCUUGUCAAAGACUUCACCUUGAGCAAAAGACUAAGUAUCCAAUCCUAAAAGAAAGUCAUCAUCAUAUGGAACAGCAAGUUCAAGUCUUAGCAGUAUAUCCAGGUGAGUUUCAGCUAAUUAUAUAUCUGUACUAUUCAUUAUAAAGGGAAAAGCUAAAAAUGAAUGCACAGAAAUAUAAGUAACUGGUUUAAGGCUCGCACAUGGGAAAAAAAUGUAAAACUGAUAUUUUAGGAACUUGUUUAAAUAAACUUUUUCUUUUUUCCUUAAAAAUAUAUACUAAGAUAACCUGGGCAGUAUAGAAGCACAGUAGGUUAGAAAUAACAGUGAAAUUAUGAACUUGGAGCAUACACAGCCAUGCAAAAGAAUCAGUGGUGAUGUGUUACUCAGGAUAAAAUGGUAC